AUCCACGAGGCACAUGAUAUACAUGGUGCAGCAGAUAUGGCAAAUGCCUGCAAUACCCUUGGAAGACCUUGUUGUAUUCAGUUUGUAUUAUUGUGAGCCAGGACCUAUGUAACCUCUGUAGAGGGAGAUGUGACAGAUGUAGGACCAGGACAUUCAAAAGACUAUAAAUUAAAGCAAAUUCCUCAACUCCAGUUAUGCAAAACCCCUGCCUUUUGAAACUAUGCCCUGCUGACUGAGUCACUGGCUGCUGAUUACUUGUUGCAGAAGGCCCAGAUCAAAGGCCCAAGCUAAUUCUGGAUCAAAGGUGGAUACACACUUGUAACCACAGGGAAAACCCAGCUGUAGGACUUGAAGACCAAAACUCUGCAGAGCCUAAGGUUGGAGCUGGGGUGACGUCUGGUACAACAAUGGAGCAGCCAGACGCACUGAAGGCCAGUGAAGGGAAUCCACUCCCCCAACAUCUCGGAGAGAGCGUAUAUACAAUGGAGGCUGUUUGACCCACAUUAUCGCAAAAGAUCUUUCCAGCAAGCUGGAAGAAACUAUAAAGAGAAGUGACAUCACGACUUGGCCUCACCCCUCCCACAACUCAACACCUGGAAACAUGUCUAGAGGACAAAGUCUUUGAACCAGGGGAGGGUGGUCCUGGGCUGGAAGGCAGUUCCAGCCUAUGCACUGAACAUCUGUGACCAGUUUGUACCAUCUGUCAGGGUGACACACUAGUUGACUCAAAUUCUGUUUAGUUUAUAGAACUCAGACUGCAAAUUUAUUUUUGUUUCUUAGGUAACCAACUUUGAUCUCUAUGCUUGCUAAUUAUAAUCACUUAAAAUCUAUCUUUCUGUACUUAAUAAAUCUGUUUUAUAUUUUACCUAAAA
Caretta caretta (loggerhead turtle) is the source of this 872-nucleotide non-coding RNA. Lineage: Eukaryota; Metazoa; Chordata; Testudines; Cheloniidae. The record is from RefSeq and is a predicted model, not a curated record.